UAGGGAAUCUUCGGCAAUGGACGGAAAGUCUGACCGAGCAACGCCGCGUGAGUGAAGAAGGUUUUCGGAUCGUAAAACUCUGUUGGUAGAGAAGAACGUUGGUGAGAGUGGAAAGCUCAUCAAGUGACGGUAACUACCCAGAAAGGGACGGCUAACUACGUACCAG
RNAcentral lists this ribosomal RNA (166 nucleotides) under uncultured bacterium. RNAcentral's name for it is "partial 16S ribosomal RNA". It matches the Rfam family "Bacterial small subunit ribosomal RNA", at positions 355 to 511 of the family's 1533-position model. The record is from RNAcentral.